Molecule: long non-coding RNA, 936 nt
Organism: Micropterus dolomieu (smallmouth bass)
Lineage: Eukaryota; Metazoa; Chordata; Actinopteri; Centrarchiformes; Centrarchidae
Exons: 3
Source: RefSeq, a predicted model, not a curated record
CUGAUUUUCUGCCACUGGACUCCUGUGAUAUCUCUUUUCCACCAAAGCAUUUUGAGAGCCGGUUCGGAGCCGGUGCCUACUCACGAACCAGUUCUUUGUGUUUCGACAGCCAAAGAACCGGUUCUCGGCCAGGAAAACUGGUUCCAAAGCGGCACCAACUCUUUGCUGGACUAGAACCGUUAUUUUACCACGUCAUGCUUACUAAAACGUGUUCGAGGAGAUCCAGAGGGAGAUGGCUAUAGCGAGGUUUAACAGAACCAAGCAGAUCAAUAACAAGUUAAAAAAAACUAAAAAAGAAUUACAGGGACCAAAAGAAGGAGUUGGGGCGAAGUGGAAAUGGAUGGCCACGUAGUUGAAAUCCCCAUUUUGAGGUUUUGGACUUGGUCCUCGGCAACAGACCGGCGUGCCAGGUCACCAGGGCAUUAAAUUCUGCCACUGCCAUGCUAGAAUCUAUGGUGGAUGAGACGCUGCUGAGGGUAUUGCCAACAACGUUACUGAUUCUGAGUCGUUGGGCAUUGAUGAUUGUGAACCUGACUGGGAGCUACCGCUACCACUCCACUGCAGCUCACCAGUACCGUCUUGCAGCUCAGCAGCUGAAAACUCCUCAUCUGCCUCUUCCACUCAGUCAACCAGAAAGGGCAAAAGGAAACGAGACAUGAAUGGGGAGCUGCUAGAAUAUUUUGAGAGGUCUGACGAAAGGUUCCUGCAGCACUGCAAGGAAAUGAAUGAUACCUUGCUGAAGAAAAUGGAUGCAGACUCAACUGCAAUGCUUGGACUCAUGGAGCGUAUGGUCACGGUGAUGGAGAGGCAAUCCCACUGAUGAGUGCUACUGAAUCAGAAAGAAACUAUGUUGUACACACUGCACUGCACACACUUCAAUAUUUUAGUUUUUGCACAGUGUACUUUUGCAAAAAAUAAACGUUUUCUGAAGAAACA